AGGGAAUCUUCCGCAAUGGACGAAAGUCUGACGGAGCAACGCCGCGUGAGUGAUGAAGGUUUUCGGAUCGUAAAACUCUGUUGUUAGGGAAGAAUAAGUACGAGAGUAACUGCUCGUACCUUGACGGUACCUAACCAGAACGCCACGGCUAACUACGUGCCAGCAGCCGCGGUCAUACGUAGGUGGCAAGCGUUGUCCGGAAUUAUUGGGCGUAAAGCGCGCGCAGGCGGUUCCUUAAGUCUGAUGUGAAAGCCCACGGCUCAACCGUGGAGGGGCAUUGGAAACUGGGGAACUUGAGUGCAGGAGAGAAGAGUGGAAUUCCACGUGUAGCGGUGAAAUGCGUAGAGAUGUGGAGGAACACCAGUGGCGAAGGCGACUCUUUGGCCUGUAACUGACGCUGAGGCGCGAAAGCGUGGGGAGCAAAC
This 425-nucleotide ribosomal RNA is filed under the name uncultured bacterium. RNAcentral describes it as "bacterial SSU rRNA". It matches the Rfam family "Bacterial small subunit ribosomal RNA", at positions 356 to 773 of the family's 1533-position model. The record is from RNAcentral.